UCUCCUACGGGGGGCAGCAGUAGGGAAUCUUCCACAAUGGACGAAAGUCUGAUGGAGCAACGCCGCGUGAGUGAAGAAGGGUUUCGGCUCGUAAAGCUCUGUUGGUAGUGAAGAAAGAUAGAGGUAGUAACUGGCCUUUAUUUGACGGUAAUUACUUAGAAAGUCACGGCUAACUACGUGCCAGCAGCCGCGGUAAUACGUAGGUGGCAAGCGUUAUCCGGAAUGAUUGGGCGUAAAGGGUGCGCAGGCGGAACCAUAAGUCUGAAGUAAAAGCCAUCGGCUCAACCGAUGUAAGCUUU
This 299-nucleotide ribosomal RNA is filed under the name uncultured bacterium. RNAcentral describes it as "partial 16S ribosomal RNA". It matches the Rfam family "Bacterial small subunit ribosomal RNA", at positions 335 to 627 of the family's 1533-position model. The record is from RNAcentral.